Molecule: ribosomal RNA, 253 nt
Filed under: uncultured bacterium
Lineage: Bacteria
Description: partial 16S ribosomal RNA
Rfam family: Bacterial small subunit ribosomal RNA
Source: RNAcentral
UACGUAGGGUGCAAGCGUUGUCCGGAAUUAUUGGGCGUAAAGAGCUCGUAGGCGGUUUGUCGCGUCUGCUGUGAAAAUCCAGGGCUUAACCCUGGACCUGCAGUGGGUACGGGCAGACUAGAGUGCGGUAGGGGAGAUCGGAAUUCCUGGUGUAGCGGUGAAAUGCGCAGAUAUCAGGAGGAACACCGGUGGCGAAGGCGCUCUGCUAGGCCGUAACUGACACUGAGGGACGAAAGCUAGGGGAGCGAAUGGG